RNAcentral lists this ribosomal RNA (709 nucleotides) under Kocuria sp. RNAcentral's name for it is "bacterial SSU rRNA". It matches the Rfam family "Bacterial small subunit ribosomal RNA", at positions 45 to 769 of the family's 1533-position model. The record is from RNAcentral. Lineage: Bacteria; Bacillati; Actinomycetota; Actinomycetes; Micrococcales; Micrococcaceae.
UGCUACAAUGCAGUCGAGCGAUGAUGCCCAGCUUGCUGGGCGGAUUAGUGGCGAACGGGUGAGUAAUACGUGAGUAACCUGCCCUUGACUCUGGGAUACCCCUGGGAAACUGGGUCUAAUACUGGAUACUACCUCUUACCGCAUGGUGGGUGGUGGAAAGGGUUUUACUGGUUUUGGAUGGCCUCACGGCCUAUCAGCUUGUUGGUGGGGUAAUGGCUCACCAAGGCGACAACGGGUAGCCGGCCUGAGAAGGUGACCGGCCACUCUGGGACUGAGACACCGCCCAGACUCCUACAGGAGGCCCCAAUGCGUAAUAUUGCACAAUGGGCGGAAUCCUGAUGCAUCGACGCCGCGUGAAGGAUGACGGCCUUCGGGUUGUAAACCUCUUUCAGUAUGGAAGAAGCGAGAGUGACGGUACCUGCAGAAGAAGCGCCGGCUAACUACGUGCCAGCAGCCGCGUUAAUACGUACGGCGCAUGCGUUGUCCGGAAUUAUUGGGCGUAUACAGCUCGUAGGCGGUUUGUCGCGUCUGCUGGGAAAGCCCGGGGCUCAACCCCGGGUCUGCAGUGGGAACUGACAGACUACAGUGCAGUAGGGGAGACUGGAAUUCCUGGUGUAGCGUUGAAAUGCGCAGAUAUCAGUAGGAUCACCGAUGGCGAAGGCAUGUCUCUGGACUGUUACUGACGCUGAAGAGCCAAAGCCUGGUCAGC